This 207-nucleotide long non-coding RNA is filed under the name Mus musculus (house mouse). Its description in RNAcentral is "lincRNA-EC15". Lineage: Eukaryota; Metazoa; Chordata; Mammalia; Rodentia; Muridae. The record is from RNAcentral.
CGGGGAAUCACUGAGCGGACGGCUGCUAGGAGAUGAAUAAGACUUCAGAGAAUUAUGAAGUUGAAACCACAACGUGGAAGACACCUGGGGUUGACAAACGAGUCAUUGGAGACGCGCUUCCUAGGAGAGCUGUGUGACCAGGAACACCUAGAGUAGUGUAUUUGCUUUGUUAAAGAGUGACUUGUAUGAGAGAGAAAUCUAUUUUCC